This 497-nucleotide ribosomal RNA is filed under the name uncultured bacterium. RNAcentral's name for it is "partial 16S ribosomal RNA". It matches the Rfam family "Bacterial small subunit ribosomal RNA", at positions 28 to 507 of the family's 1533-position model. The record is from RNAcentral.
GAUGAACGCUGGCGGCGUGCCUAAUACAUGCAAGUCGAGCGAACAGACGAGGAGGUUUCCCCUCUGACGUUAGCGGCGGACGGGUGAGUAACACGUGGAUAACCUACCUAUAAGACUGGGAUAACUUCCGGAAACCGGAGCUCAUACCGGAUAAUAUAUUGAACCGCAUGGUUCAAUAGUGAAAGACGGUUUUGCUGUCACUUAUAGAUGGAUCCGCGCCGCAUUAGCUAGUUGGUAAGGUAACGGCUUACCAAGGCAACGAUGCGUAGCCGACCUGAGAGGGUGAUCGGCCACACUGGAACUGAGACACGGUCCAGACUCCUACGGGAGGCAGCAGUAGGGAAUCUUCCGCAAUGGGCGAAAGCUUGACGGAGCAACGCCGCGUGAGUGAUGAAGGUCUUCGGAUCGUAAAACUCUGUUAUUAGGGAAGAACAAAUGUGUAAGUAACUAUGCACGUCUUGACGGUACCUAAUCAGAAAGCCACGGCUAACUACGUG